RNAcentral lists this small nucleolar RNA (90 nucleotides) under Manacus vitellinus (golden-collared manakin). RNAcentral's name for it is "Small nucleolar RNA SNORD103/SNORD85 (ENSMVIG00005019292.1)". The record is from RNAcentral. Lineage: Eukaryota; Metazoa; Chordata; Aves; Passeriformes; Pipridae.
GCUGGCUGUGAUGACACACUUGCCCUCACUGAGGUCCGUGUGGGGAUCGCUGUGGAGAACAUCCCAUGUGCUCACUUGGGCUGAGCCUUC